This 875-nucleotide long non-coding RNA is filed under the name Gossypium barbadense (sea-island cotton). RNAcentral's name for it is "long non-coding RNA (GBAR_LNC019458)". The record is from RNAcentral. Lineage: Eukaryota; Viridiplantae; Streptophyta; Magnoliopsida; Malvales; Malvaceae.
GCCUUCUUUAGGUUGCAACACAAAGAACCCGGAAUCGAUACCGGCUACACGGAAGGCUUCCUCUGCAUCAAGGGGUUCACCGUUCGGUCCUACGGCCUUGGAAUUCGGCCUGCCUGUGAGCAAUCCAGCUAUGUAGGAAAGAGGAACAAGAUCCCCAGAGGCAGUAAUUGUGCCACGAAGUGGCAAACAUGGAGUUAUGUUGUUGUUGAUAAGCUUUGUAAUUGCCUCCAAAAUCUCAAAUCUAAUGCCAGAGUAACCCUGGAGAAGGGUGUUGAUCCUAACAAGCAUAGCUGCUCUGGUUGCCGAGUGAGGAAGUGUGUGGCAUGACUCAGUUCCAUGGCCAAAGACCCCAGCAUUCAAGAACCUGUAGGAACAACAAACAGAUUUAAUUAUACUUGCUGUUCAUCAUAUUUUAUCCAACUCCCUGUUCACCAGGUAUUAAUUUGCCAUAAAUUUUCCUUGACCUUUCUAUUAAUAGCCUUAUCAACCUUGGUAAGCUAACGUGUAUUCAUGCUUUUUCCAAAAGUAGUAGGGCCACUAAAAAACUCAUUAUAAUUGAUAAAAUAAUGGUAACUCGGUUAUAACUCAUCCCACCAGACCCAAUGAACUUAACUGCCGUCCAGUUUGGACUAUUUCCACAAAAGUGAUAUUCUGUCCAGUUUUAUGAUAAUUGCUAAGUUUGUAGUAUAUAAAAAAAAAAACCUCACCUAAUGAGCUCUUUUUGAAGGGCUGCUCCUUGCUUGGUUCUUCGAUGAGAAGUAGCACCAAAACCAGUGGUAACACCAUAGCUGUCAGUGCCUUUGUUCAUGCCAUCAAGGACCCAAUCAGCACUGGCCUUGACGCCAGCCCUAGCAUCCUCGGAAAGCUCAACCUUG